This 253-nucleotide ribosomal RNA is filed under the name uncultured bacterium. RNAcentral describes it as "partial 16S ribosomal RNA". It matches the Rfam family "Bacterial small subunit ribosomal RNA", at positions 524 to 776 of the family's 1533-position model. The record is from RNAcentral.
UACGUAGGGCGCAAGCGUUGUCCGGAAUUAUUGGGCGUAAAGAGCUCGUAGGCGGUCUGUCGCGUCUGCUGUGAAAACUCGGGGCUUAACCCCGGGCCUGCAGUGGGUACGGGCAGACUAGAGUGCGGUAGGGGAGACUGGAAUUCCUGGUGUAGCGGUGAAAUGCGCAGAUAUCAGGAGGAACACCGGUGGCGAAGGCGGGUCUCUGGGCCGUAACUGACGCUGAGGAGCGAAAGCAUGGGGAGCGAACAGG